CAUUGAUGAAAAGAAUAUAUGUGGAAAACUCUGUGCGUCAAUGUAUUUUCGGCUAAGUAUAGUUUGUUGAAUGGAGUGGUUAUAUUUAGUAGAAUGGGAUAGUCCUUCACAGUGCCGCGAAACAUGUUUUGCACCCCUAUUGUGAUAUCUUAUAUUUAGUGUGUUGAUCGGGAUUUCCUUGAAGGAGAUACCUUGGGUAGCCAAAAGAAUCUUCUUUUUGAGCAUGUAUUCAAUCAGUGCUGGUUGAAUGUUUGUACAAAGUUUCUCUCCCCUG
Molecule: long non-coding RNA, 274 nt
Filed under: Vigna radiata
Lineage: Eukaryota; Viridiplantae; Streptophyta; Magnoliopsida; Fabales; Fabaceae
Description: long non-coding RNA (VRAD_LNC015478)
Source: RNAcentral